RNAcentral lists this ribosomal RNA (467 nucleotides) under uncultured bacterium. RNAcentral's name for it is "partial 16S ribosomal RNA". It matches the Rfam family "Bacterial small subunit ribosomal RNA", at positions 28 to 507 of the family's 1533-position model. The record is from RNAcentral.
GAUGAACGCUGACAGAAUGCUUAACACAUGCAAGUCAACUUGAAUUUGGGUUUUUAACUUAGGUUUGGGUGGCGGACGGGUGAGUAACGCGUAAAGAACUUGCCUCAUAGCUAGGGACAACAUUUGGAAACGAAUGCUAAUACCUAAUAUUAUGAUAAUAGGGCAUCCUAUAAUUAUGAAAGCUAUAAGCGCUGUGAGAGAGCUUUGCGUCCCAUUAGCUAGUUGGAGAGGUAACGGCUCACCAAGGCGAUGAUGGGUAGCCGGCCUGAGAGGGUGAUCGGCCACAAGGGGACUGAGACACGGCCCUUACUCCUACGGGAGGCAGCAGUGGGGAAUAUUGGACAAUGGACCGAGAGUCUGAUCCAGCAAUUCUGUGUGCACGAUGAAGUUUUUCGGAAUGUAAAGUGCUUUCAGUUGGGAAGAAACAAAUGACGGUACCAACAGAAGAAGUGACGGCUAAAUACGUG